RNAcentral lists this long non-coding RNA (171 nucleotides) under Anser brachyrhynchus (Pink-footed goose). Its description in RNAcentral is "lncRNA (ENSABRG00000009245.1)". Lineage: Eukaryota; Metazoa; Chordata; Aves; Anseriformes; Anatidae. The record is from RNAcentral.
CUGCUCCCUCCCACACAGCCCCAGCUGGAGAGCCUUUUCUUGCAGCGAGAGCUACUCUUCCUGUGCCAGUCUCUUUUCACUCACUGCUCCUCCUCUCCCUGCCUUCCUCAUAGACUGAAGGUCAAGAAGCCGGGAUAGCUGACAAGCAAGUGAAUCAGGUGGAAAUGAGGU